UCUUUGGGAUUUGAAUACGAAAUUGGGGAAGGAGCUUCUGUUGGCUGUGUUGGAAUAGUUAUAUUCUCAUCAAUUUCUAAAGUUGAACUAAAAUCCCAAGAAUAAACUCUAUGCGUAGCAUAAAAACUUCCUGUUGCUGCUGAAAAGCCAAAAGUAACGCGUUCUGGCAGGUAAUCCCUCAGAUCCAGAAUUACACUAAGGUAUUGCAUCUCCUGAGUGUCAUUUCUAGUGAAAACAACACUUAGAUUAUGUGUACUAGAAUUAUAACUAGUCCAAGCAUCAUUUCUCUUCCCUCCCCUAAUGUCACAAGACCAAGUAAUAUUUUUCACAGAUUUCAGAGAAUUGAUGUCAAUACCAACAUGUUCGCCUGAAGGAUCAAAAUCGUUACUGAAGAUAUCAAAUUCAACAGCAACAAAACUAUUCACUGUAGUGUUUAGUUGUUG
RNAcentral lists this unclassified non-coding RNA (443 nucleotides) under Hevea brasiliensis (rubber tree). Lineage: Eukaryota; Viridiplantae; Streptophyta; Magnoliopsida; Malpighiales; Euphorbiaceae. The record is from RNAcentral.